Molecule: non-coding RNA, 109 nt
Filed under: Clostridium kluyveri
Lineage: Bacteria; Bacillati; Bacillota; Clostridia; Eubacteriales; Clostridiaceae
Also listed under: 1 other name
Description: SAM-I sequence
Rfam family: SAM riboswitch aptamer (S box leader)
About the family: The SAM riboswitch is found upstream of a number of genes which code for proteins involved in methionine or cysteine biosynthesis in Gram-positive bacteria. The SAM riboswitch acts at the level of transcription termination control.
Source: RNAcentral
UUCUUAUCAAGAGAGGUGGAGGGACUGGCCCUAUGAUGCCCGGCAACCUGAAUGUAUUUACAUUCAAUGGUGCUAAUUCCAGCAGGUAAUAUAACCUGAAAGAUGAGAG